CGCACCGCACACCUACGGAACUCGCUCACUCGGCCGGCGUUCAUCAGCGACUCCUCCAAGAACAUCACAGAGAGAGACGCGCGCGGCCCCCACCCACCCUGUAGGCUUUCUUCUUUUCCUGUUCGGAUCGGCCAAUCGCCGCUAAAGUGCCAUCGGGUGUGAAGCUAGGAACGUCGCCGCCGCCGAUGAGAUGGUGGCGCUGCCGGCGUUUAAGUUCGUCUUCCUGGCCAUCCGCCAGGUGACGCGCCCUGUCGCGAAGCAGAUCGUCUCACGUGCGAACACGAAGCGCGCCCUGACGUAUUGUGUGUGCAUUGGGCUGGGCCGCGUCUCGCUCGGCCUCUCCGGCGUCAUCGCAGAGUGGACACGGGCUGAGGAACAGAAGCAACGGGAGGCGAAGCUCAAGGCGGCACAGGCUGCGGGUGCGACUGCAGCAAAGAACGCGGCGCAGGUGGCCAUGGAUGUGGUGGGCAAGGCAUCGACAGCAGCAAGCAGCAGCGAGACACCCAACACGGCGGGAUCGAGUAGCGGCACCAACACAGCAGCGAGCUCCGCGGCGAAGGCGCAGGCGGGCAAAGCCGUAGAGUCAAGCAUAGCCACAACGGCGAAGUCCGCUGCUACGCCGGCAACCGUCACACCUCGGUCGCGAUCGCUUCUGCAGAGCGUCGUCUACGGUCCGCAGCCGAAGGGUGGGGCGGUGGACACAUACGACAGCACCGUCUUUCUCGAUCUCUCGCGCACCGUCGGCGAGGUAGCCCGUGUCUUUAUCCGCUACCCGUCUCGCAGUGCUUGGGAUGUGUUCCGCCAAACGUUUCUCGCUCCUUUCCCGGAGGAUCGACUCGUUGCAGCGGGCGCUGACCUUCUCAUCGAGCUGGUGGCCUACACAGUGCUGUGCACAUUGCUCGUGGUGGAGCUUUACCAGCAGUCCCGCACAUCGGCAGCGAAAGAGGCCCACUUGCAGGCCCGCCUGGAGGCAAUCGAAUCCAAGGUGAACGAGCUGGUGGAGUGCAGCAACAGGGCAGCCUCCUCGCCGCCGGUGCAGGAGUUGCCUCCAGUGCGGGAACUGCGCGUGACAGGGCGGCUCAGUGCCCUCUGGGGUGCCGUCACAGGCGGCGUCGGCUUUGUUGGUGAUUCCGUGAGCAGACACACCGAAGGCCGCAAAAAGAGCAGUGCCAGUAGCAGCGGCGGCAGCCUCGCAGCCGAAGAGCUUGAGCGACUGGCGCAGAGCGGCAAGGUUGUCGUCCCACAGCGCAAGAACGGCUUCAACGUGGCGUAUGCCCCACCGCGGGACCCCGCGGUGAAGGUGAGCAAGCACGAUGAGACAAUUUUCCUGCAAGAGGAGCUGGAUCAGCUCAUGGGCAAUGUCGUGCGGAUGGAGAAGCGGGCAUAGAAUGAGCGGGCCGCUCGGUGGAGAGGGUCAGCGCAUCGCUUGCUCAUCGCGUAAGAGGAGGGGGAUGCAGCGGAAAGGGGGAGGGGGGGCACACUGCCUGGAUGCAACGCACCCCAGCGGCCACACGAAGGGGAGAAAGGCAGUGCCCUUCCUUACUCUUGACCGAUGGCUACGCUUAUCGCGCUGUGUGGCAAUGGCGGUGUCGCCGCCACUCCUCCCCUACGUUGCCUUAUCCGUCGAGCGUCUUCCUCACGCGUGGGUGUGCGGCUCUUCUCAGGGAGUACCUUUGCGUUAUGCCGAUAUGUGCAGGCGCGUGUGCGGAGGGCGGCGUCGGUGUGCCCUCCGAUGACAACGUUGUUGUCCGACAGGAGGCGAGAAAUGAGGACGUGUAACAUCCUCGUGUGCGUCUUUUCGCAUCCGAUGGCCUCAACUGCUCCCCACCCUCCCGCCCGCUCCCCCUUAUCUCUGUCUCUUUCCUUCCUGUGUUUGGCUCGUGCUGUGUAUGCCAG
Molecule: unclassified non-coding RNA, 1896 nt
Filed under: Leishmania donovani
Lineage: Eukaryota; Euglenozoa; Kinetoplastea; Trypanosomatida; Trypanosomatidae
Description: gene:LdHU3.11.0450(CDS-product:Optic_atrophy_3_pr otein_(OPA3)_putative)
Source: RNAcentral